RNAcentral lists this ribosomal RNA (253 nucleotides) under uncultured bacterium. RNAcentral's name for it is "partial 16S ribosomal RNA". It matches the Rfam family "Bacterial small subunit ribosomal RNA", at positions 524 to 776 of the family's 1533-position model. The record is from RNAcentral.
UACGUAGGGGGCUAGCGUUGUCCGGAAUCAUUGGGCGUAAAGCGCGUGUAGGCGGUUCGGUAAGUCCGCUGUGAAAGUCGGGGGCUCAACCCUCGAAUGCCGGUGGAUACUGUCGGACUAGAGUACGGAAGAGGCGAGUGGAAUUCCUGGUGUAGCGGUGAAAUGCGCAGAUAUCAGGAGGAACACCAAUUGCGAAGGCAGCUCGCUGGGACGUGACUGACGCUGAGACGCGAAAGCGUGGGGAGCAAACAGG